CUCUCCUGCAAAUCAACACAGCUCUGAUAGUGAGUCAGGACUGAUCUUGUGUCCACUCCUGACAAAAGAAAUGAACAGUCAAGGUGUGGAGUGUGUACUGGAUAUCCUCUACAUUUGCAGUUCUUAUUGCCUGGACUGCAAUUUGGCUCAGCAUAUCAGAAGCUAAGUUGCUCAAGCAUUUUCUGUUUUUAUUGCUGUUUCAACAUAACGUUAUAACAAUGCACAGAACCUAAGAAGAAAAGCAGGAUUCCUGUUUUAAUCUUUCAGCUGAAGAAGGUUCAUACUGGCUUCAAACCACUAACUCUAUUUUUGGCUUCACAGAUGCUGCCAAACCUGCAGAGAUUCUCUAGCACUUCCUGUUUUUAUUUCAUUGACUGAAAUGUUGCCACUCUAUCGGCUCCUCCAUGAAAGUACACAUCCUUCAUUAGUCCAUAGUGGUUUCCAGAUGUGACAAUAGUUUACUCUGGUGAUGUUAUAUAUAGAAGAAAA
Molecule: non-coding RNA, 489 nt
Organism: Chiloscyllium plagiosum (whitespotted bambooshark)
Lineage: Eukaryota; Metazoa; Chordata; Chondrichthyes; Orectolobiformes; Hemiscylliidae
Source: RefSeq, a predicted model, not a curated record